RNAcentral lists this ribosomal RNA (253 nucleotides) under uncultured bacterium. Its description in RNAcentral is "partial 16S ribosomal RNA". It matches the Rfam family "Bacterial small subunit ribosomal RNA", at positions 524 to 776 of the family's 1533-position model. The record is from RNAcentral.
UACGUAGGGUGCAAGCGUUGUCCGGAAUUAUUGGGCGUAAAGAGCUCGUAGGCGGUCUGUCGCGUCGGCUGUGAAAUCCCGGAGCUCAACUCCGGAAUUGCCAUUGAAACUGUGAGACUGGAGUACGAGAGAGGUGAGUGGAAUUCCCAGUGUAGAGGUGAAAUUCGUAGAUAUUGGGAAGAACACCGGUGGCGAAGGCGGCUCACUGGCUCGUAACUGACGCUCAGGCGCGACAGCGUGGGGAUCAAACAGG